Molecule: microRNA precursor, 110 nt
Filed under: Hordeum vulgare
Lineage: Eukaryota; Viridiplantae; Streptophyta; Magnoliopsida; Poales; Poaceae
Description: microRNA MIR1122
Rfam family: MIR1120/MIR1122 microRNA precursor family
Source: RNAcentral
AUUGUACUCCCUUCGUCCUAAAAUAAGUGACUCAAAAAUGACUUUGUACUAAUUUUAGUCAAAGUAGAGUCAUUUUUGAGUCACUUAUUUUGGGACGGAGGGAGUAUAUC